CUUCCGUAAGGGGAACCUGCGGAAGGAUCAUUAGUGAAUAUAGGACGUCCAACUUAACUUGGAGUCCGAACUCUCACUUUCUAACCCUGUGCACUUGUUUGGGAUAGUAACUCUCGCAAGAGAGCGAACUCCUAUUCACUUAUAAACACAAAGUCUAUGAAUGUAUUAAAUUUUAUAACAAAAUAAAACUUUCAACAACGGAUCUCUUGGCUCUCGCAUCGAUGAAGAACGCAGCGAAAUGCGAUAAGUAAUGUGAAUUGCAGAAUUCAGUGAAUCAUCGAAUCUUUGAACGCACCUUGCGCUCCAUGGUAUUCCGUGGAGCAUGCCUGUUUGAGUGUCAUGAAUACUUCAACCCUCCUCUUUCUUAAUGAUUGAAGAGGUGUUUGGUUUCUGAGCGCUGCUGGCCUUUACGGUCUAGCUCGUUCGUAAUGCAUUAGCAUCCGCAAUCGAACUUCGGAUUGACUUGGCGUAAUAGACUAUUCGCUGAGGAAUUCUAGUCUUCGGACUAGAGCCGGGUUGGGUUAAAGGAAGCUUCUAAUCAGAAUGUCUACAUUUUAAGAUUAGAUCUCAAAUCAGGUAGGACUACCCGCUGAACUU
RNAcentral lists this unclassified non-coding RNA (597 nucleotides) under Rhodotorula mucilaginosa. Its description in RNAcentral is "partial contains ITS1, 5.8S rRNA and ITS2". The stretch from base 187 to 340 matches the Rfam family "5.8S ribosomal RNA". The record is from RNAcentral. Lineage: Eukaryota; Fungi; Basidiomycota; Microbotryomycetes; Sporidiobolales; Sporidiobolaceae.